Long non-coding RNA from Haliotis rubra (blacklip abalone), 122 nucleotides. RefSeq lists it as uncharacterized. The record is from RefSeq and is a predicted model, not a curated record. NCBI's taxonomy places the organism in Eukaryota, Metazoa, Mollusca, Gastropoda, Lepetellida, Haliotidae. The transcript is spliced from 2 exons.
CUGCAACCGUGCAUAGCACCUAACUGGUACUCCUUGACAUGGUGACUUGCACGGAUAUAUCGUCUGGUGAAUGUAACUUUAUGCAAUAAGUCUACAACAGGAUUGCAACGAAUCUUUAUAAA